This is a non-coding RNA of Gossypium hirsutum (cotton), 145 nucleotides long. Lineage: Eukaryota; Viridiplantae; Streptophyta; Magnoliopsida; Malvales; Malvaceae. The record is from Rfam.
UAGUAAAAACUUCAUCAAUUUCUACUGUUAAAAACUGACGUUGCUGCCAAAAUAAUCAGACAAUUACAUGUGGCAUGCCAUGUGUACCUCAUUCUGACACACAGGGAUCAAUUUUUAACAGUAGAAAUAGAUGGAAUUUUUAAUA